ACGGUCCUAAGGUAGCGAAAUUCCUUGUCGGGUAAGUUCCGACCCGCACGAAAGGCGUAACGAUUUGGGCACUGUCUCAACGAGAGACUCGGUGAAAUCAUAGUACCUGUGAAGAUGCAGGUUACCCGCGACAGGACGGAAAGACCCCGUGGAGCUUUACUGUAGCCUGAUAUUGAAAUUCGGCACAGCUUGUACAGGAUAGGUAGGAGCCUUUGAAACGUGAGCGCUAGCUUACGUGGAGGCGUUGGUGGGAUACUACCCUAGCUGUGUUGGCUUUCUAACCCGCACCACUUAUCGUGGUGGGAGACAGUGUCAGGCGGGCAGUUUGACUGGGGCGGUCGCCUCCUAAAAGGUAACGGAGGCGCUCAAAGGUUCCCUCAGAAUGGUUGGAAAUCAUUCAUAGAGUGUAAAGGCAUAAGGGAGCUUGACUGCGAGACCUACAAGUCGAGCAGGGUCGAAAGACGGACUUAGUGAUCCGGUGGUUCCGCAUGGAAGGGCCAUCGCUCAACGGAUAAAAGCUACCCCGGGGAUAACAGGCUUAUCUCCCCCAAGAGUUCACAUCGACGGGGAGGUUUGGCACCUCGAUGUCGGCUCAUCGCAUCCUGGGGCUGUAGUCGGUCCCAAGGGUUGGGCUGUUCGCCCAUUAAAGCGGUACGCGAGCUGGGUUCAGAACGUCGUGAGACAGUUCGGUCCCUAUCCGUCGUGGGCGUAGGAAAUUUGAGAGGAGCUGUCCUUAGUACGAGAGGACCGGGAUGGACAUACCUCUGGUGUACCAGUUGUCGUGCCAACGGCAUAGCUGGGUAGCUAUGUAUGGACGGGAUAAGUGCUGAAAGCAUCUAAGCAUGAAGCCCCCCUCAAGAUGAGAUUUCCCAACUUCGGUUAUAAGAUCCCUCAGAGAUGAUGAGGUUAAUAGGUUCGAGGUGGAAGCGUGGUGACACGUGGAGCUGACGAAUACUAAUCGAUCGAAGACUUAAUCAA
Molecule: ribosomal RNA, 978 nt
Filed under: Staphylococcus haemolyticus
Lineage: Bacteria; Bacillati; Bacillota; Bacilli; Caryophanales; Staphylococcaceae
Description: bacterial LSU rRNA
Rfam family: Bacterial large subunit ribosomal RNA
Source: RNAcentral